GGGGGCGAAAUGGUUUCGACUGGAGGUUGAAGCUGUGCCUGCAUGCCGAGGAUGGGCUCGUUGGCCUCGUAAAAAAUCGGGUCAGUUAAGAAGAUAACUGCUAACUACAGGAAUCAACCAGCUGUGGCCGCGGAAGGCUCUGCGGUCGCGCUGCUCGGCUAGUUUAAGGCCGUAGCGUCUUUCUCUUGAGACCUGCUAUAGAGAAGGGCGACGAUAAGCAGGUUAGCCGGCCGUGGGAUGUGUCCUCUGCGGAGUGGCGAGUUAGUGCGGGCACUAGAGAGGUGAAGCAGAAGGUGUUGCGGUCUUUCCAGCCUUGCCUCUGACAGUAGAGGGCCGCAUAAGCAUGUAGACGGUGAGGCAGAUGGCCUUUCAGGACACGGGUUCGAUUCCCGUCGCCUCCAGAA
This 404-nucleotide transfer-messenger RNA is filed under the name Chthoniobacterales. RNAcentral describes it as "Xiphinematobacter sp016766635 Standard tmRNA". It matches the Rfam family "transfer-messenger RNA". Rfam says of the family: Bacterial tmRNA, also known as 10Sa RNA or SsrA, is named for its dual tRNA and mRNA-like properties. The record is from RNAcentral. RNAcentral also lists the same sequence under 1 other name. Lineage: Bacteria; Pseudomonadati; Verrucomicrobiota; Spartobacteria.